AAUAAGGGGAUGAAAAGUUGAAGCACAGAGUAGAACUGCUAAAAAAGGAAAGAAGGAAGGACAAACAGGGCAACAAAAUAAUCAGGACUCUGCAGAGAGCCCCUGCCAGCAAGAAUGCCCUCACCAAGAUGCAGCCUCUUGGCCUUGGACUUCCCAGCCUCCAUAACUCCAUUGACGUUGGCCAGCAAUGGAAUCUAAGCCCAGCGUACCUGGAAAGUACACUGUUAUGAAAAACAGAGUUUUUUAAAACGAGUACACUGCAAACUGGGGGAAAUCUUUUUUUUUUUUUUUCUGUAAAAACUGAACCACCUGAGAAGGCAUACGUGUAUUUAUUUUUCUACACACUUAAUUUGUUCAGUUUUAGAACUCAAGAUCCUUUAUUAUUGUUAGUGUAUU
Molecule: long non-coding RNA, 396 nt
Organism: Cercocebus atys (sooty mangabey)
Lineage: Eukaryota; Metazoa; Chordata; Mammalia; Primates; Cercopithecidae
Exons: 3
Source: RefSeq, a predicted model, not a curated record